RNAcentral lists this ribosomal RNA (435 nucleotides) under Capnocytophaga sp. oral taxon 336. RNAcentral describes it as "bacterial SSU rRNA". It matches the Rfam family "Bacterial small subunit ribosomal RNA", at positions 28 to 463 of the family's 1533-position model. The record is from RNAcentral. Lineage: Bacteria; Pseudomonadati; Bacteroidota; Flavobacteriia; Flavobacteriales; Flavobacteriaceae.
GAUGAACGCUAGCGGCAGGCCUAACACAUGCAAGUCGAGGGGGAGGUUACUUUCGGGUAACUGAGACCGGCGUACGGGUGCGUAACGCGUAUACAAUCUGCCUUUCACUGGGGGAUAGCCCGAAGAAAUUUGGAUUAAUACCCCAUAGUAUAUAGGGACGGCAUCGUUUUUAUAUUAAAGCUUAGGUGGUGAAAGAUGAGUAUGCGUUCUAUUAGCUAGUUGGAGAGGUAACGGCUCCCCAAGGCGAUGAUAGAUAGGGGUUCUGAGAAGGAUGUCCCCCACACUGGUACUGAGAUACGGACCAGACUCCUACGGGAGGCAGCAGUGAGGAAUAUUGGACAAUGGUCGGAAGACUGAUCCAGCCAUGCCGCGUGCAGGAUGAAGGUCUUAUGGAUUGUAAACUGCUUUUGUAAGGGAAGAAUAAGGGCUACGCGU